UUGAGUCCNGAAUACUUCUUAGAGGGACAAGCGGUGUUCAGCCGCACGAAAUUGAGCAAUAACAGGUCUGUGAUGCCCUUAGAUGUCCGGGGCUGCACGCGCGCUACACUGGAGGAAUCAGCGUGCUGUAACCAUUGCCGAAAGGCAUUGGUAACCCCUUGAAAAUCCUCCGUGAUCGGGAUCGGGAAUUGCAAUUAUUUCCCUUGAACGAGGAAUUCCCAGUAAGUGUGAGUCAUCAGCUCACGUUGAUUACGUCCCUGCCCUUUGUACACACCGCCCGUCGCUGCCCGGGACUGAGCCGUUUCGAGAAAAGCGGGGACUGCUGAUUUGAGGCCUAAGGGUUUCGAUUCGGUGGAAACCGCCUUUAUCGCAGUGGCUUGAACCGGGCAAAAGUCGUAACAAGGUUUCCGUAGGUGAACCUGCGGAAGGAUCAUUAUCGAGCUAUAAAGUCUCAAGGAUUCACACUCCUUCGAGCCGUACAUGUGGGUCGUCCAGCAAGUUGAGGACCGGCUGCAGGCCAUCGUGCUUUACGCGGCUGCCCACUGUGCGUUGGAGUGAAAUGGGCGAAGCAGUGAUAGUUUGCUUCUACGCGGUCCGUCACUCAUACCCUAAAGCACGGCUAACGUUGGCGUCUAAGCUCUAUCUAGCAACCGUCCGUCCGUCGGUAGCGAUGAUGAUAGGGAUGAAGCUCCCGUGAGGUGAGCAGACUUAAUGAGCACUGGCAAGCGUGCCGCCAACAAACCACAUAAACCUAUACUGUGUGAUGAUCAGAAGUUGGUCGAAAGACCAGCUAACGAGUACUACUCUUAGCGGUGGAUCACUCGGCUCGUGGAUCGAUGAAGACGCCAGCUAGCA
This 855-nucleotide ribosomal RNA is filed under the name Megalobatrachonema terdentatum. RNAcentral's name for it is "bacterial SSU rRNA". The stretch from base 1 to 436 matches the Rfam family "Eukaryotic small subunit ribosomal RNA", at positions 1393 to 1831 of the family's 1831-position model. Lineage: Eukaryota; Metazoa; Nematoda; Chromadorea; Rhabditida; Kathlaniidae. The record is from RNAcentral.